CCUACGGGCGGCAGCAGUAGGGAAUUUUGCGCAAUGGGCGAAAGCCUGACGCAGCAACGCCGCGUGAUCGAGACGCCCUUCGGGGUGUAAAGCUCUGUCUGUGGGGACGAAUCUUGACGGUACCCACCGAGGAAGCACCGGCUAACUCCGUGCCAGCAGCCGCGGUAAUACGGGGGGUGCAAGCGUUGUCCGGAAUCAUUGGGCGUAAAGAGUUCGUAGGCGGCACGUAAAGUCAGGUGUUAAAGGCAGUGGCUGAACUUCAGUACGGCACUGGAUACUUGUGCGCUAGAGUGCGGUAGAGGUAAAGGGAAUUCUUGGUGUAGCGGUGAAAUGCGUAGAGAUCAAGAGGAACA
RNAcentral lists this ribosomal RNA (353 nucleotides) under uncultured bacterium. RNAcentral describes it as "partial 16S ribosomal RNA". It matches the Rfam family "Bacterial small subunit ribosomal RNA", at positions 338 to 708 of the family's 1533-position model. The record is from RNAcentral.